This 455-nucleotide long non-coding RNA is filed under the name Hordeum vulgare. RNAcentral describes it as "long non-coding RNA (HVUL_LNC003810)". Lineage: Eukaryota; Viridiplantae; Streptophyta; Magnoliopsida; Poales; Poaceae. The record is from RNAcentral.
UAAUUUGGAAUGGAGGUAAUAUACUACUACUCCUAUCCAGGUCAGUUUGAUGUCUUAAUUACAUUGUAUAGAAUCUGCGUCAAUUAAUUCGGAUUGGAGGGAGUACUAUUUUCUAGGGAAAUAGUUUUACUAUACCCUUACAUGCUCUCAAACUAAAUUCAGGCGUAUAAGGCUAUGAGCAGCUUAAUCACGCAGACACACAAUGGAACUACAAUCGAUAACCUAAAUCAUCCAGGUGAAGAAUUCGACAAGCAAGCAAAAGUGGAUAAACAGAGAAUCCAAUGCGGCCUCGCUUGCAUGCCUUAUUACCAUACCAAGAAUUGAAAUGUCAAAUGGAAGAUCCCUGAAACGACAAAUGUUGCAUCCAACAAUGACAAAGUACUGAACCUACUGAUGCCUAAAUAAAUGGUAAGCACACCCAACUAAAAGGGAGGCAGAGAUGGGGGAAAGCNNNN